AUACGUAGGUGACAAGCGUUAUCCGGAUUUACUGGGCGUAAAGGGCGUGUAGGCGGUCUUGCAAGUCAGAAGUGAAAUUCCUGAGCUCAACUCGGGCGCUGCUUCUGAAACUGCAGGACUUGAGUGCUGGAGGGGAUAGCGGAAUUCCUAGUGGAGCGGUAAAAUGCGCAGAUAUUAGGAAGAACACCGGUGGCGAAGGCGGCUAUCUGGACAGUAACUGACGCUGAGGCGCGAAGGCGUGGGGAGCAAACAGGAUUAGAUACCCUGGUAGUCCACGCCCUAAACGAUGAAUGCUAGGUGUAGGGGAGUCAUCUUCUGUGCCGCAGCUAACGCAAUAAGCAUUCCACCUGGGGAGUACGGCCGCAAGGUUGAAACUUAAAGGAAUUGACGGGG
This 393-nucleotide ribosomal RNA is filed under the name uncultured bacterium. RNAcentral describes it as "partial 16S ribosomal RNA". It matches the Rfam family "Bacterial small subunit ribosomal RNA", at positions 523 to 918 of the family's 1533-position model. The record is from RNAcentral.